This 1434-nucleotide long non-coding RNA is filed under the name Homo sapiens (human). RNAcentral's name for it is "HSALNT0329618". Lineage: Eukaryota; Metazoa; Chordata; Mammalia; Primates; Hominidae. The record is from RNAcentral.
UGCCUGUCUCACUGGAAUCUUGUAAGGAUUAAAUGGUUACUGUUUUUAACGUAGUUGGAAGAGUUUGUGGUCCUGUGUUUGUUAAAUAUACACAAAUUAACUUCCCAGCUCACCCAUGCCUAGUAUUAUGCAAGGGGCUUCACAUCAAUUACCUUGUUUGGUCUUCACCACAGCCACAUGAGCUUGGAAUGACUAUUAUUAGGGAAAGUGGACCCAAGAAGGUCAAGUUCCUUGCCUGAGGUCACACAGCUAGUAAAAGGCAGAGCAAAGGUUGAAACUCAGGAUGGUCUGUCUCCAGGACCGGGGCUCUCCACCACUCGGGCCUGCCUAUUCCAGGGCUGGCAGCCUCUCUACAGAGGUGAAGCGUCUACUGGAUCACUUUUGACCAACAACACAUCAGCCGGCAGAGGAAGGAGGGGUGGGCCAAGAAGGGCCCCUUCCCUCUCAGGCCGGAGAGAUUCCUCUGACUAAUUUGCUGAGUGACUUCGAUGGCAAACUGCAGCCCUGUUCCCUCCAGCUGAGACUCCUCCGUCUUGCUCAUGACUGGGUCCCCUGGGCAGAGCCAGGUCCUGGCAGAGAGCAGAUAUCCAGUAAAUACCUCUUGGCCCUAAGAAUGACUGGGAACACUCAUGUAGCGAGAACACCUUCCUGUGUGUUAUCUCAUCUCAUCCUCACAGCAGCCCAGAGAGGUAGGUCUUUUAACCCCAUUUUACAGACGUGGAAACUGCGGCUCAGAGAGCGGAAGUGACUCGCCCAGGUCAUAAAACUCAAACUUUUGGGCUCCAAAGUUUUGGGGCUCCAAACUGACUAUAGUUCUGCAGCCUACAGAGAGCUCGCCCUGUUCCUUUUGUGAGGAUAGUGGGGGGCAGCAGGAACCCCAAGUUAUUGGAGGCCUCCCCUGGCCUCCUUUAACACAGAGGAGCUCCUGGGAUAUCAAUGGGGGUGGUGUUAUCAGCCAGCAGGGGGACAGAGCCUGGGGCUGCAGAGCUUCUGGUGGAGGUGGGGCAUCUCAGGGUUGCUGAUGGUCAUCCAUUCACGGAGCGAGUUCUUUCCCAGCCUCUGCUGGGUACCAGGGCUAGACAGGGCCAUGCUCUCAGGAGCUCUCGGGAGGUAGGCUAGAUGGGUCCAAGUCACUGUCCCAAGGCGGGGGCGUCAGAGUGCCGCCUCACUUGCAGGGAAUAGCAUGCUGUUUACGGGAGACAGUAUCAAGGAACCGCUUGGGACCCCCUGCCCCCAUGACUGCAGCCUUCAGAGCUGUCUGGGAUUGGGCGUGGCAGGGCAGCUCCUCCGAGUGCAUCCGUUGUGAGUGGUGAAAGUAUAUCCCCUCGCUUUGGGGUCACUGGUGGGCCCCUGUGGUUUUCCUUGUCAGCUUUGCUGUUUUUAGUCUUUGUUCACUGCUCUGUUAUUACCGACAUCUUAAAGGGUUUCCCCAUC